Molecule: ribosomal RNA, 500 nt
Filed under: uncultured bacterium
Lineage: Bacteria
Description: partial 16S ribosomal RNA
Rfam family: Bacterial small subunit ribosomal RNA
Source: RNAcentral
AUUGAACGCUGGCGGCAUGCCUUACACAUGCAAGUCGAACGGCAGCACGGGAGCAAUCCUGGUGGCGAGUGGCGAACGGGUGAGUAAAGUAUCGGAACGUGCCCAGUCGUGGGGGAUAACGUAGCGAAAGUUACGCUAAUACCGCAUACGAUCUAUGGAUGAAAGCGGGGGAUCGCAAGACCUCGCGCGAUUGGAGCGGCCGAUAUCAGAUUAGGUAGUUGGUGGGGUAAAGGCUCACCAAGCCGACGAUCUGUAGCCGGUCUGAGAGGACGACCAGCCACACUGGGACUGAGACACGGCCCAGACUCCUACGGGAGGCAGCAGUGGGGAAUUUUGGACAAUGGGCGCAAGCCUGAUCCAGCCAUUCCGCGUGCAGGACGAAGGCCUUCGGGUUGUAAACUGCUUUUGUACGGAACGAAAAGGCUCUGGUUAAUACCUGGGGCUCAUGACGGUACCGUAAGAAUAAGCACCGGCUAACUACGUGCCAGCCGCCGCCGUAA